AUUGAACGCUGGCGGCAGGCUUAACACAUGCUAGUCGAGCGGGGGAAGGUAGCUUGCUACCGGACCUAGCGGCGGACGGGUGAGUAAUGCUUAGGAAUCUGCCUAUUAGUGGGGGACAACAUCUCGAAAGGGAUGCUAAUACCGCAUACGUCCUACGGGAGAAAGCAGGGGAUCUUCGGACCUUGCGCUAAUAGAUGAGCCUAAGUCAGAUUAGCUAGUUGGUGGGGUAAAGGCCUACCAAGGCGACGAUCUGUAGCGGGUCUGAGAGGAUGAUCCGCAACACUGGGACUGAGACACGGCCCAGACUCCUACGGGAGGCAGCAGUGGGGAAUAUUGGACAAUGGGGGGAACCCUGAUCCAGCCAUGCCGCGUGUGUGAAGAAGGCCUUAUGGUUGUAAAGCACUUUAAGCGAGGAGGAGGCUACUUUAGUUAAUACCUAGAGAUAGUGGACGUUACUCGCAGAAUAAGCACCGGCUAACUCUGUGCCAGCCGCCGCCGUAA
RNAcentral lists this ribosomal RNA (501 nucleotides) under uncultured bacterium. Its description in RNAcentral is "partial 16S ribosomal RNA". It matches the Rfam family "Bacterial small subunit ribosomal RNA", at positions 30 to 523 of the family's 1533-position model. The record is from RNAcentral.